UCUCAGCUACACGGAGACCCAAUGGGAA
Molecule: non-coding RNA, 28 nt
Filed under: Mus musculus (house mouse)
Lineage: Eukaryota; Metazoa; Chordata; Mammalia; Rodentia; Muridae
Source: RNAcentral